CGGGGUAUAGCUCAGUGACUGAGUGCUUGCUUAGCAUGCAUGAGGGCCUGGGUUCAAUCUCCAGUACCACUA
Molecule: non-coding RNA, 72 nt
Organism: Ictidomys tridecemlineatus (thirteen-lined ground squirrel)
Lineage: Eukaryota; Metazoa; Chordata; Mammalia; Rodentia; Sciuridae
Source: Rfam